Long non-coding RNA from Nymphaea colorata (pocket water lily), 1560 nucleotides. RefSeq lists it as uncharacterized. Lineage: Eukaryota; Viridiplantae; Streptophyta; Magnoliopsida; Nymphaeales; Nymphaeaceae. The record is from RefSeq and is a predicted model, not a curated record. The transcript is spliced from 2 exons.
CAAAAUAGAAACACCAAAGGAGAAUGGUGAAGAUGACAAUGCGACGAGAUGAUGAAGGCCAAAAUCAUCCUGCUUCAUAAAAAAAAGACGCUUCAACCAACAAAAGCUCAAGAUCAUGGUUUUUCAGGGAUCGGCCAGGCAACUAUAAUCCUUAAAAUCAAGAGCCUUAGCCUCGGGGCGUUACGCCACCAACAAUAAUUAAUCAGUUAUUAAUUGUGCCCUUUUAUAACGGGGAACCUUUCGAGCGAUGGGGGCCACUUAAUGGUCCAUGCUUCCGUGAUAGCGAACCGAGACAGCUCGCCAAAGAUGCCAAUUAAGAAAAGCCAUCAGUAUGGUUCCAAGAGAAAUGAUCUCAGAUACGAUAUGGUUUCACUUCCACGGCCUUCUCUAGCACAACCCUUAACAUUUCCUUCUAUGUAUGUCAGCCAAUUCAUUUAAGUCCUCGCCCUUACGCCCUUUCUUAUUUUAAUUAAUUUAUAAUAUAAUUUAAAAUAUAAAAAUGGUUUAUAUGUAUAUAUAGGAAAACGGAUAAAAAGAGGACCCUCAUAUGCUAUUUGACUGGAAUCGUCUAGGCCGUCAAUUGCAAUGAAAUCAAAUAAAUAAAAACUAAGUUUUUUACAAGAGAGUAUAUAUAUAUAUAUAUAUAUAUAUAUAUAUAUGAGGCGCCGUUACAGACAAUUAAAUUGGAGGGAAACAAAGAAGCGUUACUACACUAUAGAAACUAAGCGUAUACACACAUGAAAUGAUACAUAAACACUGUCGCAAGCUGGGUGACCGAAGUGAGGCAAAACACUACCAAAAGGUAUAUACAAGUGUCCGAACGUAUCUGAAGUCUUUAAAAGACAUCUGCCGGGCCAACUUAUCUAAAUUUUUAUGUUAAACAAUUGCAUAUAAUAUAAUUGAACAAAGAAAAAAAAAAUGUGAGUCAUAAGGUCGAGAUAAUAGGGCCUAUCUUAGACAUUUUCCUCCGCCAGUCAAACACGCUACAAAUUUAUCCCGCUUAACAAAAUUAAUUUGAGUGGAGUACGAUUUAACCGCUUAUUGAAAUUUAAAGGUGAGAUAUGUUAAGUAAUAUUUAUUAUGAUUUACGUGGGUAGUCGAUGAUUUACAUAAAAAAAAUAAAAAUUCAAAAAAUGAGUGACUCGCCAUUUCAUUGUUUUAUGCAAAGUGAAAAGAUUCUUCCCCAUCCGUCGCAAUUACAGUGAAAAGGUUCAUCCCCUUCCGUCCGCAAAUAAUUUUUUAUUCCAAAUGAGGAUAAAAAGCGACGGUUUAAAAGAAAUCGUUUUAAAAUUGUUUUAGUAAUUUAGUAAGUGCAUUAAAUAAGCAUCUACAAACUCGAAAAACAAGAGAUAUUUAGCCAAAACAAUAAUAUAUUUUAGUGAGGGUAACUUUGAAAAAAAUAACAAUAAUAAACUGUUUAAAAAUUAAAAUUUCCUAAAAAUAAGAACCCUCUUGUUUUUUCACGCCUUCAAUUUUCCAACCAGAUGCGAUAAAACCCAGAACAUGUCCACCAUUUAUUGUCUGAAACCGGCCACAAAAAAAAAAAAAAAAAAAAAACAA